CAUUGAAACACCAAUUCUCAUACAAUCACUGAAAUUAAGCAAUGUCAUGUCUGGUUAGUACAUAGAUGGGUGACUGCUUGGGAAUACCAGGUGCUGCAAGC
Molecule: non-coding RNA, 101 nt
Organism: Acanthosepion pharaonis
Lineage: Eukaryota; Metazoa; Mollusca; Cephalopoda; Sepiida; Sepiidae
Source: the annotation of a GenBank genome assembly